RNAcentral lists this ribosomal RNA (448 nucleotides) under uncultured bacterium. Its description in RNAcentral is "bacterial SSU rRNA". It matches the Rfam family "Bacterial small subunit ribosomal RNA", at positions 355 to 825 of the family's 1533-position model. The record is from RNAcentral.
UGGGGAAUAUUGGACAAUGGGCGAAAGCCUGACCCAGCAACGCCGCGUGAAGGAUGAAGUAUUUCGGUAUGUAAACUUCGAAAGAAUAGGAAGAAUAAAUGACGGUACUAUUUAUAAGGUCCGGCUAACUACGUGCCAGCAGCCGCGGUAAUACGUAGGGACCAAGCGUUGUUCGGAUUUACUGGGCGUAAAGGGCGCGUAGGCGGCAUGACAAGUCACUUGUGAAAUCUCUGGGCCUAACCCAGAACGGCCAAGUGAUACUGUCGCGCUAGAGUGCAGAAGGGGCAAUCGGAAUUCUUGGUGUAGCGGUGAAAUGCGUAGAUAUCAAGAGGAACACCUGAGGUGAAGACGGGUUGCUGGGCUGACACUGACGCUGAGGCGCGAAAGCCAGGGGGGCAAACGGGGAUUAGAUACCCCCGUAGUCCCUGAGCGGGCUGGCAAGGCGCAU